AUACGUAGGGAGCGAGCGUUACCCGGAAUUACUGGGCGUAAAGCGCGCGUAGGCGGUAUAUCAAGUUAGGCGUGAAAGCCCCGGGCUCAACCCGGGAACUGCGUUUGAAACUGGCAGGCUUGAGGCCGGGAGAGGGUAGUGGAAUUCCCAGUGUAGAGGUGAAAUUCGUAGAUAUUGGGAAGAACACCAGUGGCGAAGGCGGCUACCUGGACCGGUUCUGACGCUGAGGUGCGAAAGCGUGGGGAGCAAACAGGAUUAGAUACCCCGGUAGUCC
Molecule: ribosomal RNA, 274 nt
Filed under: uncultured bacterium
Lineage: Bacteria
Description: partial 16S ribosomal RNA
Rfam family: Bacterial small subunit ribosomal RNA
Source: RNAcentral